GUGGUUAAUUCGAUGAUACGCGAGGAACCGUUACCUGGGCUCGAACGUAAGAUGACUGUAGGUGAAAGCUUACAUCUCUUCGGAGCAUUUUACGAGGUGCUGCAUGGUUGUCGUCAGCUCGUGCCGUGAGGUGUCGGGUUAAGUCCCAUAACGAGCGCAACCCUACCUUUAGUUGCCAUCAGGUAAUGCUGGGGACUCUAAAGGAACUGCCUACGCAAGUAGUGAGGAAGCGGGGAUGACGUCAAAUCAGCACGGCCCUUACGUCCAGGGCUACACACGUGCUACAAUGGCCGAUACAGAGGGCAGCUACCUGGUGACAGGAUGCAAAUCUCCAAAGUCGGUCUCAGUUCGGAUCGGAGUCUGCAACCCGACUCCGUGAAGUUGGAUUCGCUAGUAAUCGCGCAUCAGCCAUGGCGCGGUGAAUACGUUCCCGGGCCUU
Molecule: ribosomal RNA, 439 nt
Filed under: uncultured Sphingobacteriales bacterium
Lineage: Bacteria; Pseudomonadati; Bacteroidota; Sphingobacteriia; Sphingobacteriales
Description: bacterial SSU rRNA
Rfam family: Bacterial small subunit ribosomal RNA
Source: RNAcentral